Molecule: ribosomal RNA, 497 nt
Filed under: uncultured bacterium
Lineage: Bacteria
Description: partial 16S ribosomal RNA
Rfam family: Bacterial small subunit ribosomal RNA
Source: RNAcentral
GAUGAACGCUGGCGGCGUGCCUAAUACAUGCAAGUCGAGCGAACAGACGAUGAGCUUGCUCCUCUGACGUUAGCGGCGGACGGGUGAGUAACACGUGGAUAACCUACCUAUAAGACUGGGAUAACUUCGGGAAACCGGCGCUAAUACCGGAUAAUCUAUUGAACCGUAUGGUUCAAUAGUGAAAGACGGUCUUGCUGUCACUUAUAGAUGGAUCCGCGCCGCAUUAGCUUGUUUGUAAGGUAACGACUUACCAAGGCAACGAUGCGUAGCCGACCUGUGAGGGUGUUCGGCCACACUGGAACUGAGACACGGACCAGACUACUAAGGGAGGCAGCAGUAGCGAAUCUUCCGCAAUGGGCGAAAGCCUGACGAAGCAACGCCACGUGAGUGGUGACAAUCUUCGGAUCGUAAUACUCUGUUAUUGGGGAAGAACAAAUGUGUAAGGAACUGUGCACGUCUUGACGGUACCUACUCAGAAAGCCACGGCUAACUACGUG